UCCAGCUCAGUGCUGCUCCGUAGG
This 24-nucleotide non-coding RNA is filed under the name Cricetulus griseus (Chinese hamster). Lineage: Eukaryota; Metazoa; Chordata; Mammalia; Rodentia; Cricetidae. The record is from RNAcentral.